AAAUUUGGGCCAGCCGCCGCGGUAAUUCGAAGGGGGCUAGCGUUACUCGGAAUUAUUGGGCGUAAAGCGUGCGUAGGCUGCUUAGUAAGUCAAAAGUGAAAGCCUUGGGCUCAACCUAAGAAUUGCUUUUGAAACUACUAAGCUUGAGUACUGUAGGGGGUAGCGGAAUUCCUAGUGUAGGGGUGAAAUUCGUAGAUAUUAGGAGGAACACCGGAGGCGAAAGCGGUUAUCUGGACAGUCACU
This 243-nucleotide ribosomal RNA is filed under the name Rickettsiales bacterium ad263. RNAcentral describes it as "partial 16S ribosomal RNA". It matches the Rfam family "Bacterial small subunit ribosomal RNA", at positions 499 to 741 of the family's 1533-position model. Lineage: Bacteria; Pseudomonadati; Pseudomonadota; Alphaproteobacteria; Rickettsiales. The record is from RNAcentral.